Molecule: ribosomal RNA, 1248 nt
Filed under: Triticum aestivum (bread wheat)
Lineage: Eukaryota; Viridiplantae; Streptophyta; Magnoliopsida; Poales; Poaceae
Description: partial small subunit ribosomal RNA
Source: RNAcentral
AUGAGCUUUCAAUCUGAGGAAGAGGCAUACCAGUUCUAUAAUUCUUAUGCUAAAAUAAAAGAAUUUAGCAUUAGAAAGUGCCACCUGAAGCUUAGAGCACAUAACACUGUAAGUGCCAGAUAUUUAGUUUGUAGCAAGGCAGGUGUGAAGGCCACUCAUCCAACACAUGUACCCAAGAAAGAACAAGCUAUUUCGACGACUGAUUGCAUGGCACGUGUUCAAUUCAGCAUCAAUCCGGAGGGUGUUUGGAGUGUUCAAAAAGUCAUCCUUGAGCACAAUCAUCAGCUUGUAAGUCCAGACAAGAGGCACAUGCUUAGAUCGCAGCGUCAACUCUUAGAUGCUGACCGCCACAUGAUUAAGCAAAUGAGGACAUCCGGAAUUAAACAAGCUGAAAUAUAUGAUUUCUGUGAGCUUUGGUAUGGUAAAGAUGCUAUGUCAUUCUUGCAAAUGGAUUGCAACAAUUACUUACGAAGUGAGCGCUCGAAGUAUUUGGAGACCAAAGAUGCACAAACAUUAACAGAGUAUAAAAAUAAGCAAGCUGAGGACCCUUCAUUUUUCUAUGCCAUGCAAUUAAAUGAUGAUGAUGGUACAAUAAUGAAUAUCUUUUGGACUGAUAGACAAGCUAUCAUGGAUUAUUCUGUCUUUGGAGAUGUUGUUUCCUUUGACACCACAUUUUCAACAAAUAAGUUUCCAAUGUCAUUCGCUCCAUUUAUUGGUGUUAAUCAUCACAAACAGACUGUUCUUUUUGGUGCAGUGCUGCUAUAUGAUGAAACUGCAGAUACAUUUGAGUGGGUUUUUAGAACUUUCCUACAAGCUAUGUCGGGUAAGCAGCCUGAGACAAUAUUCCGUUUCCUAAGUGCUGCCAUUAUAAAUGCUAUUGGAAGGGUUUUCCGGGAAACACAACAUCGUCUUUGUUUAUGGCAUUUGUAUCAAAAUGCCGCUAAACAUCUAAGUCAAGUAAUCAGUGAUCAUCCUAAGUUUAUUAAAGAAUUCAAAAGAUGUGUGUAUGAAGAUAGACCAGUGGCACAUUUUGAGAAUAGAUGGCAUGAGCUAUUGGUUAAGUACCAGAUCGAGGGAAAUUCUUGGCUAAACAAUCUGUACAAAUUGCAUGAGAAGUGGGCUACUAUUUAUCGCAGGGAAUCUUCUAAUGCGGACAUGACAUCAACACAAAGGAGUGAAGGAAAACAAUGUGUUCAAGAAAACUUUCCACAAAAGACUAUGCCUUUCAGAGUUGAUAGAAGCAUAUGA